RNAcentral lists this ribosomal RNA (252 nucleotides) under uncultured bacterium. Its description in RNAcentral is "partial 16S ribosomal RNA". It matches the Rfam family "Bacterial small subunit ribosomal RNA", at positions 524 to 776 of the family's 1533-position model. The record is from RNAcentral.
UACGUAGGAUGCGAGCGUUAUCCGGAUUUAUUGGGUUUAAAGGGUGCGUAGGCGGGCUUUUAAGUCAGCGGUAAAAAUUCGGGGCUCAACCCCGUCCGGCCGUUGAAACUGGGGGUCUUGAGUGGGCGAGAAGAAGGCGGAAUGCGUGGUGUAGCGGUGAAAUGCAUAGAUAUCACGCAGAACCCCGAUUGCGAAGGCAGCCUUCCGGCGCCCUACUGACGCUGAGGCACGAAAGUGCGGGGAUCGAACAGG